UUGUACAAGAGGUGGAUGGGCCAC
Molecule: non-coding RNA, 24 nt
Filed under: Arabidopsis thaliana (thale cress)
Lineage: Eukaryota; Viridiplantae; Streptophyta; Magnoliopsida; Brassicales; Brassicaceae
Source: RNAcentral